RNAcentral lists this long non-coding RNA (2968 nucleotides) under Mytilus galloprovincialis (Mediterranean mussel). Lineage: Eukaryota; Metazoa; Mollusca; Bivalvia; Mytilida; Mytilidae. The record is from RNAcentral.
UCAUUACACAAAACAUAUUAAAAUAUUUAAGUUUGAUAACAAAAAUAUACAUUAAAACACAAACUUUGUUAUUUCAGCUUGAUCAUCUAGAGACUAAAACGCCUACUGAUGGAUUGCACUUUCAAAGCUAUCAAGAAGUAGCAUCAUGUUCAUGAUAUUAUAGACGCAAAUCAGAAAACUGGAGCAAAAUCCUCAUUGUUAAAUUACCUGAAUGACUUAUUUAUUAAUUAUGUCUGUGGACUCACUUUAUUACUUUAAAAAAUAUCUAUUUUGCUAUUAAAAUCUUUUGGCAUUAGUAUUUUCUCUUUAUUUAUCAUCUUAAGAAUUUCUGACUGUUUGAUCUUUUGGAUUUUAUUAUUUUAUGAAGUGAUAUUGUUCUCUCGAAAUUUCACCAACACCAUGAGCUUAAGCCUUCUGGGUAUAAGUAUGGACUUAUAAAUAAUGAUAAUGAUGCCGGAGUUUCUGAUUUGCGUUCAUAUACUGAACAACACACGAAAAGCUUUAAUUCUCGGUAUAAAAGUCAAUGGAGAAAAAAAAUCAGAAGAUUGAAUGACUGAUUUAUUGUGUUUACCGUCACUUUCAGCACUAUUGGCUUAAACAUUAAGGUCAGUUGUAAUUGGUUGCGGAAACCAGAUUGCCCUGAGACAACCACUGACUCAUGCCAGGAAAAUUGGAGAUCAAAGUCAAUCGAGACAGGAGAUGAACGUAACUUUCACAUGCAGUGCCAGCGUUCGAACUUAAACUUCAAAGAAUCAGGUGCAUGACAUAUAAUUUUCUAAAUGUUUAAGUUGUACAAAUAUAUUCUACAUCUAUAUAUGAGAUUUGCCUCAAGGAAUAUUCAAAAAUCAAUUUACAAUUGUUCUAAAAUUACCUUAGAAAGGGUACUGAAAGCAUAAAUACAAUUACACCAUAAUGUUGAUCCUCAAUUACAGUACAGCCUAGGUGGGUUUUGAUAUGCAUGCUUUACUUCUGUGAGGGGAUACAAGGUGAACAAAAUUUAUGUACGAAAUCUGAGAAAAAAUUGAAAAAGGAAAUGGGGAAUGUGUCAUGUAUAUGUCAUUUCUGAUCCUUCAUUCUUAGAACUGUAUAGACUAUACAAUUUGAUUAAAAGAUAAGCUCCUGAGUACAAUAUUCUUAAAGAUAUUUUAAGUUGAAUUUGAGAAGUAGAAAUAAAUCAUCUACGUAGGGCUGGUGGUAGUGACUUAAUCUAAGAAAGCUACAGUAUAAGUAAUAAACUUCCAAAUGUAAUUUAAAAUGUGAUGGUAUAUUUUUUAUAAAAUAUUACAAUAAGAAAAUGGUAAGUAAAACAUAUACCCACAUAAUAUAAAGCAAUACCCUCAUAUAUUGAUAACUUAUGAUACCCUGUAAAGUGUAGUAAUGUAUCCUGGAAAAUAUUUCAUACUAACAUUAUGAGCUAUCAUAAAAAAGCAUUUGGAAUAGUAUUAUCAUAAUAAUCAGUACAUUUUUGUAACUAAUAACAUUAAAAUUGAGAAGAAAAUAAUAUGCGAGACCUAUGUCAUGUAUGUCAAUGAGACUGGAUGUCAACAUAUGUUGUUUUUUUUAAAAUAAUAUAUGCUUAAUUCAACAGUCUUGAAAAAAACCCACUAUAAUAAUAUAUUUAACAGAAAAUUACAGACUUUCAAUCAAUGCCAUGAUGGUAUAUGUAUAACCAUACAAUAUUAAUAUACUACUAGUUUAUAUUUGUUUAGGGGUCAGCUGAAGGACGCCGCCGGGUGCGGGAAUUUCUCGCUACAUUGAAGACCUGUUGGUGACUUUCUGCUGUUGACACAUUCACCAUUUCCAUUCUCAAUUUUACUAAGCCUGUUUCAAAUAAUGCAAACAAAUUGAUUGGUUGAUUGAAAGUUAUCAUACUACGUUAAUAUAAAAUGCCUCUUUGAAUAAAUUCGAGUAAUGUGCAAUAAUGAUUCUUAUCAUCCUCUUAUUACAUGUACAUAUGUAUACUCUGUAUAAGUCGUCCUUUCUUAUGAAAAACGUGAGUUAUAGUACUAGUGUACAUGAUGAGUGCUCCUGGCUAAAAUUGACUUCAUAUAUUGUCUUAGCAACUAUUUUGUUUGUUCUGUCUUGUUGUAAAUAUUGUACAUAAUUGUCUUCUCUUCUCUAUACCUAUGUAUAUAGUUUAUUGAGAAUAAAGAUAUAUAGGACUUAUAACACAUUGCAUUGGUACUGAUUAAGUGAGAGCAUUUCGUACCCACCCAGUUCAAAGCCUGGCUGUGACAUAUAUUGCUACCAGAAAGUUAACCUUGCUCAAAACAAGAAUAAUUACAAUACAUACUAUUACAAUAAAACAUACGACUGGUAAAGAAGAUAAUGAUCAAUAAAGUGUCGAUUAAAAACAGGGAUAGUUGUUUUGAAGCAAGAAAGUUAAAACCGACACUGCUAUCAGCUUCUUAGCCUCUGCAUAUGUUUUAAUUCUCUCAAAUUAUAAGAUAUAAUUACUUCAAUGUUUAAAAUGAGAAUGCAUGAUGAUUUCAAUUCAACAGUAAAAAAAACUACAUAAAUGAUGUGAAAAAUACAAUUUUUAGCAUUUGUUUCAAAUAUGGCACUUCUUAGUAAUUAAAAGUGAAGGAGAUUGUUUGUAGAUUCAUAAUAUUACUAUAAAAUUUAUAAAACUAGAGGCUCUAAAGAGCCUGUGUCGCUCACCUUGGUCUAUGUGCAUAUUAAACAAAGGAGUCACAAAUGGAUUCAUGACAAAAUUGUAUUUUGGUGAUGGUGAUGUGUUUGAAGUUCUUACUUUACUGAACAUUCUUGCUUCUUACAAUUAUAUCUAUAAUGAACUUUGCCCAUUAGUAACAGAGAAAAAUAUUUGGUAAAAAUUUACAUAAAUUUACCAAAUUAAUGAAAAUUGUUAAAAAUUGACUAUAAAGGGCAAUAACGCCUUAAGGGGUCAACUGACCAUUUAGGUCAUGUGGACUUAUUUGUAGAUCUUACUUUGAUGAACAUUAUCGCU